This 515-nucleotide ribosomal RNA is filed under the name uncultured bacterium. RNAcentral's name for it is "partial 16S ribosomal RNA". It matches the Rfam family "Bacterial small subunit ribosomal RNA", at positions 28 to 523 of the family's 1533-position model. The record is from RNAcentral.
GAUGAACGCUGGCGGCGUGCCUAAUACAUGCAAGUCGAGCGAAUGGAUUAAGAGCUUGCUCUUAUGAAGUUAGCGGCGGACGGGUGAGUAACACGUGGGUAACCUGCCCAUAAGACUGGGAUAACUCCGGGAAACCGGGGCUAAUACCGGAUAACAUUUUGAACCGCAUGGUUCGAAAUUGAAAGGCGGCUUCGGCUGUCACUCAUGGAUGGACCCGCGUCGCAUUAGCUAGUUGGGGAGGUAACGGCUCACCAAGGCAACGAUGCGUAGCCGACCUGAGAGGGUGCUCGGCCACACUGGGACUGAGACACGGCCCAGACGCCUACGGGAGGCAGCAGUAGGGAAUCUUCCGCAAUGGACGAAAGUCUGACGGAGCAACGCCGCGUGAGUGAUGAAGGCUUUCGGGUCGUAAAACUCUGUUGUUGGGGAAGAACAAGUGCUAGUUGAAUAAGCUGGCACCUUGACGGUACCUAACCAGAAAGCCACGGCUAACUACGUGCCAGCCGCCGCGGUAA